This 468-nucleotide ribosomal RNA is filed under the name uncultured bacterium. RNAcentral's name for it is "partial 16S ribosomal RNA". It matches the Rfam family "Bacterial small subunit ribosomal RNA", at positions 28 to 507 of the family's 1533-position model. The record is from RNAcentral.
GACGAACGCUGGCGGCGUGCCUAACACAUGCAAGUCGAACGGAAAGGCCCUGCUUUUGUGGGGUGCUCGAGUGGCGAACGGGUGAGUAACACGUGAGUAACCUGCCCUUGACUUUGGGAUAACUUCAGGAAACUGGGGCUAAUACCGGAUAGGAGCUCCUGCUGCAUGGUGGGGGUUGGAAAGUUUCGGCGGUUGGGGAUGGACUCGCGGCUUAUUAGCUUGUUGGUGGGGUAGUGGCUUACCAAGGCUUUGACGGGUAGCCGGCCUGAGAGGGUGACCGGCCACAUUGGGACUGAGAUACGGCCCAGACUCCUACGGGAGGCAGCAGUGGAGAGUAUUGCACAGUGGGCGGAAGCCUGAUGCAGCAACGCCGCGUGCGGGAUGACGGCCUUCGGGUUGUAAACCGCUUUCGCCUGUGACGAAGCGUGAGUGACGGUAAUGGGUAAAGAAGCACCGGCUAACUACGUG